UAACCUGCCCAAGAGAUCGGGAUAACACCUGGAAACAGAUGCUAAUACCGGAUAACAACAGAUGAUGCCUAUCAACUGUUUAAAAGAUGGUUCUGCUAUCACUCUUGGAUGGACCUGCGGUGCAUUAGCUAGUUGGUAGGGUAACGGCCUACCAAGGUGAUGAUGCAUAGCCGAGUUGAGAGACUGAUCGGCCACAUUGGGACUGAGACACGGCCCAAACUCCUACGGGAGGCAGCAGAG
RNAcentral lists this ribosomal RNA (240 nucleotides) under uncultured Lactobacillus sp. Its description in RNAcentral is "partial 16S ribosomal RNA". It matches the Rfam family "Bacterial small subunit ribosomal RNA", at positions 122 to 354 of the family's 1533-position model. The record is from RNAcentral. Lineage: Bacteria; Bacillati; Bacillota; Bacilli; Lactobacillales; Lactobacillaceae.